This 494-nucleotide ribosomal RNA is filed under the name uncultured bacterium. Its description in RNAcentral is "partial 16S ribosomal RNA". It matches the Rfam family "Bacterial small subunit ribosomal RNA", at positions 29 to 523 of the family's 1533-position model. The record is from RNAcentral.
AUGAACGCUAGCGGGAGGCCUAACACAUGCAAGCCGAGCGAUAGAGAUUCUUCGGGAUCUUGAGAGCGGCGUACGGGUGCGGAACACGUGUGCAACCUGCCUUUAUCUGGGGGAUAGCCUUUCGAAAGGAAGAUUAAUACCCCAUAAUAUAAGAGACGGCAUCGUUUUUUAUUGAAAACUCCGGUGGAUAGAGAUGGGCACGCGCAAGAUUAGAUAGUUGGUGAGGUAACGGCUCCCCAAGUCUACGAUCUUUAGGGGGCCUGAGAGGGUGAUCCCCCACACUGGUACUGAGACACGGACCAGACUCCUACGGGAGGCAGCAGUGAGGAAUAUUGGACAAUGGGUGAGAGCCUGAUCCAGCCAUCCCGCGUGAAGGACGACGGCCCUAUGGGUUGUAAACUUCUUUUGUAUAGGGAUAAACCUACCCUCGUGAGGGUAGCUGAAGGUACUAUACGAAUAAGCACCGGCUAACUCCGUGCCAGCCGCCGCAGUAA